Molecule: long non-coding RNA, 333 nt
Organism: Branchiostoma floridae (Florida lancelet)
Lineage: Eukaryota; Metazoa; Chordata; Leptocardii; Amphioxiformes; Branchiostomatidae
Exons: 3
Source: RefSeq, a predicted model, not a curated record
UGUUCGUGUCCCCUAACUACAGUGUCGUUGAACGGCAGACCAGGAGUACAGGUCCAACGGUUUGCAGUCCAGGCCCGAGAAAUCAACAGUUACCAUUCCGUGGGAACCUUCGUCAAUCAGCCCACUGCUGCUCAAACUAUCGGAUGUGGUCACCAGAACGACACCAUCAUCAGUCUCCCUGGUAACGUCACUGCGACAACAAACCUGAGCCUGACGUGGGCAGCUCCCAACCACACAGGCAUCGGGGACGUAGAGUUUAUAGCCAACGUCAGACAGGUUGGAGAUGCAAGCUGGGCUAGACUGAAGUCAAGACAAGUCAGACAAAUAGGUAAA